Molecule: long non-coding RNA, 741 nt
Organism: Helianthus annuus (common sunflower)
Lineage: Eukaryota; Viridiplantae; Streptophyta; Magnoliopsida; Asterales; Asteraceae
Exons: 2
Source: RefSeq, a predicted model, not a curated record
GUGAAAAUAUCAUCGUCAAUAUUUUUUUUUGAAAGGUGAAGUUCUCAACAGACGGAUGAUUCACGCCAGACGACUCGGCCCUGCCCCAUUCUGUCCCGAGGACUAUGUUGUCUUAACCGGGUCCACGCCUUAGUAGAAUAGGACAUUUGGCUUUCCCCGAGAAAAUUUCAGGCCCCCUACCACUUAACAGAAGUUGCACCCUCCACACGAGCCGCCGCCUGUCGAGACUGACCGACUCGCUGGAGUAAAUGCACCCUAGUAGAAAACUCGGGUUCCCUCAUGCUCGAACCGGAGUCCAAACCAUCAUUGGGUUGGGGAUAACCCCAAUGCCUCACAUUUGAUGAAGAUAUUUUGAAGGGGUAAAGUGUAAGUUGCAAGGGCUUCGAUUGCCGUCUUGAUACUGCGAGGUGCUAUGUGUAAAUGUUCCACAUCCAGAAUAUAAAAGGGAUCUUUCUCUCUCAUUCAAUCAUUCACUCCUCUUCAAAGUUGUUACAUUCACUCUGUUUAGAUCUAGGGUUUUCUGCAAAAGUGUUGCAGCUGUAUUCGUUGUUGUUGAUCUCUCUCCUUUGUUUUGAGAGAUUGUUCAUACGGUUUGAUAGAUGAUCAUCAUCUGUGGAUGAUCAUCAGAUUUGUUUUGUAUUUCUGUACUUGUUAGAUCUUACUAUUGUAAGAUCAUCUGGGUUUUGGGGGGUAACGUUUUGGUUUGGGUUAAAUAAGAGCUUUGUCACCGUUUUGUCGCUA